CUUCUUUCACCGUCGAUUCUCUGCUAUCUCUUUUCUCACUCUUCUUUCACCAAUUCUCGGUCAUCUCUUUUGAAUCAUCCUGUUAAUUAGAAAAGUGAGUCUAUGUUAAUGGCAUCUCUUCAGUUAGCAAAGUUUUACUGUUUAUUUUUAACCCAUUUUUAAGAGUGCUUAUAGAAAGGAUUGCCUAAGCUAUUUUUCUUUUAAACUUUUCUGAGGGACU
This 220-nucleotide long non-coding RNA is filed under the name Capsicum annuum. RNAcentral's name for it is "long non-coding RNA (CANN_LNC008329)". The record is from RNAcentral. Lineage: Eukaryota; Viridiplantae; Streptophyta; Magnoliopsida; Solanales; Solanaceae.